AAAAUUUUAAAAUUUAUAAAUCGUUUUAUUUUUCUGUUUUAAUAUUUUCUUGGUGUAAAUGUUGUAGCAACGUAUAGGUUAGGAGCGGUAAAAGUUGUAGCGCGUUUUCCCACUUGGCCUCCAUUUAUACCCUCGGUGAAGCUGUUGGUCGGAAUUUCCACUACUUUCCACAAAAAAUUUUUCGUCUUUUUCAUCGUUUGUUUACUUUCUUUUUGCCACUGAUACUACUAAACCUAUGAUAUUAAUCAGGGCUGUAUUUAUGCUACUGUGACCAUUCCUCUUUGACUGACCAAAUACAUCCCUGAUGUGGCAUCACCUUUUUUGGUGUGGCAUUUCCGUUUCCGCUUCAUUUUUAAACCAUUGGCGGACGACGUACUUGGAAAUAAAUGGAAGGAGUCGUAUUUGGAAUACGGAAUACAGGAAAGCAAUUGAAAAAUUAUUCGUCAUACAAAAUAUUUAACAGGUCUUUUUUUUCUACAGGAAAAGCAGAGUUUCUUCAAUGAGAAAAACUCGUGUUUGCCAUUGGUAAGCUUGUGCGUACAUAUCGCAAAAAAAUGGUGGCGUGGUUUUACUUACACAUACGUUUAUACGCACAUGAACCCAUUCAACACUCGGCGUUAUCAAUGCUGUUUCAUUGUGUCUCAAUGCAGAAUGCCUUUACACACAUGCCUGUUGUCAUCGGCAGAAUUAUUUCGUACACACCGCUGCCGGCAAUGGCAGAAUUACUGUACGUAUACCGCUGUUAGCAUUGGCAGAACUAUUAAACACACAUCGCUGUCGGUAGCGUUAUUACACGAACAUCGUCAUAUGUGUGUUGUCGUAUGAAGGGUCUACCAUUUCAUUCACACGGAACAACGGCCAUAAAAGAAUGGUAAUUAAGAGUUAUUCAUUUGGCAGAUGAACAUAUAGGAAUUUUAUAUAUGAAGAUACUCUUCAAUUGGCGUAUUCGGUAUUCCAGAAUUUUAUUGUCCAUUAAAUUCAAUUACAUAUAUGGCCCAUUUAUUGUGAGUUUUCGGAGCGGUAAUGUUGGUGGAUAAUCUAUAGUUAUGUACAUAACUAUAACUGGCGUGGCUUAAUAGGCCGACUGCUAAUUGGAACAUAUGGUGGCAUGAGUUUCAUGGGCGACGUACAUGAAAAAGUUUUCCCAACUACCUGUGUGCCACGAUUUUUCGCCCAUUUAUAAACACCAUUACCCUCGUCUCCUAUGUGCGUAAUUUAUAUAAUCGGACAAGCAGUAAAAUAGGACCUUUUCGUGUUUCAAACUGUAAACAUUUAUGGCAAAGUGUCUCAACCUUAAAUACGGUUCAUUGGGUUUUAAGGCCGCAAGGAAAGUUCAAAAUUUCGGAGCUAUCUGCACGGUGUAUCACAAAAAUGUUACCUGGUCAUCCCGGAUACAACAAAAAGAGCAUCACCACAGGCUCAGGGGGAUUUACCAGUUACUUAUGCCGCUCCUCGGACUUGUCAAAUUUCGAAUCGGGAUUUUUGUCCAAUUAAAUUAUUGAAAAAUCUGCCCUCCUCCCGUUUGGAGGGUUUGUGGUGCAAUAUUAAAAGACAAAAGAAAACCCACCGAGCACCAGUCAGUAACAGACAAAAUUAAGAUUCACCAUCAACACUUACUUUUAAGUUUGUCUGCCCAACACAUGGAUUAACACUCUUCAAUAAAAUAACUCAAAAUUCGAACAAAUUUAUAAAUCGUUUUAUUUUUCUGUUUUAAUAUUUUCUUGGUGUAAAUGUUGUAGUAUCCCAACGUAUAGGUUAGGAGCGGUAAAAGUUGUAGCGCGUUUUCCCACUUGGCCUCCAUUUAUACCCUCGGUGAAGCUGUUGGACAAAGAUGUCUUGAUUCUGAGAGGCCCAUUCUUCCAAUUGACUAAGUAUUGCAUGCAAGCCGAUUUUUUUCGAAAGCUUUUGUAAAACAAAACAUAUAUAUUGGUUUUGAUGGAGUUAUUUAUAUAAAAAUAAAGGGAUAUAAGAUUUUCAGCUAUGGAUUUGCCCUUUUUUAAAUGUAAAUUUAAAUGGUCUAAUGAUUUUUUUUAGCAAUAAUAAACCACCACAUUCUUUUAGCAAUGUGAAUCCGCUUCAGGAAUAGGUACAAGAGGGCUAUUUUUGUAAAUUUGCUGAAUGAAUGAGUUAAAUAUGUUAUUAUAAAGUAAAACUAAGCGUACUUUACAAUUCGGCCCUAGGUUCCUGAUCAUUUCAUAGUUUAUCCUGUCUAUCCUUUGAGCUGAUAAAGGGUGACAUUUAAUUCAAACAUGUUUAUAUCUUCUAUUGGAUUCGCGUUUUCGUUAGCAACUAAAUAUGUAUGGCCACGUGCAUUAAUAUUCUUUGUUGACUGGAAUUCAUCAGAAUUGAUGAAUCAGGCCACACUUCGCAAAAAACAUUGGAAAUGUCUGACGGGUCUGUUUGUACAGAGAAAGUAACUCCUAGAAGCUUUUCUGCAAACGUAUUAAUAGCGUAAUUAAUGUAUCAAAAAUUAAAAAGUUUAUGUUUAAAAACCAUACACAAUGCCAGACAAUGGUAGAUGAUAUGGGGAAAAAGAUGGAAACAAUAGAAGAGACCAUAGGGCUUUUGAUCAAUAAUGGAGUAAACGAAAAUAGGAAAGUGUACAAGAAAUUAACUUUAUUUCGCAAUGAAGUAAUUCAUGUAUUUUAAAAUAAAAAUUACUUUAAAACACAAUAAAAGCAUGCAUUCCACAUACUGUAUGAAUGGGUACAUGAAGCAAAUUUUUAUGGUAUACCAGUUAUGAAGCAAAUUUUGUAUUGUAGAAUGUUGCUUAUGUAAAAUAUGAAAAAUGAGUUUGCAUUUCUAAAAUUAAAGAAAAAUAUCCCCAGA
Molecule: long non-coding RNA, 2829 nt
Organism: Musca domestica (house fly)
Lineage: Eukaryota; Metazoa; Arthropoda; Insecta; Diptera; Muscidae
Exons: 5
Source: RefSeq, a predicted model, not a curated record